GGGGGAGUAAUCCCCCUGCCUAAUGUAGCCGUGGACGGUCACAAGCCCGUGUAAAUACAGAGUGGGUA
This 68-nucleotide non-coding RNA is filed under the name unclassified sequences. The record is from RNAcentral.